AUCAUGGCUCAGAUUGAACGCUGGCGGCAUGCCUUACACAUGCAAGUCGAACGGCAGCACGGGAGCUUGCUCCUGGUGGCGAGUGGCGAACGGGUGAGUAAUACAUCGGAACGUACCCUGAAGUGGGGGAUAACGUAGCGAAAGUUACGCUAAUACCGCAUAUUCUGUGAGCAGGAAAGAGGGGGAUCGCAAGACCUCUUGCUUUAGGAGCGGCCGAUGUCGGAUUAGCUAGUUGGUGAGGUAAAGGCUCACCAAGGCGACGAUCCGUAGCGGGUCUGAGAGGAUGAUCCGCCACACUGGGACUGAGACACGGCCCAGACUCCUACGGGAGGCAGCAGUGGGGAAUUUUGGACAAUGGGCGCAAGCCUGAUCCAGCCAUGCCGCGUGAGUGAAGAAGGCCUUCGGGUUGUAAAGCUCUUUCGGUGGGGAAGAAAUUGCACAGGAUAAUACCUUGUGUAGAUGACGGUACCCGCAUAAGAAGCACCGGCUAACUACGUG
This 498-nucleotide ribosomal RNA is filed under the name uncultured bacterium. Its description in RNAcentral is "bacterial SSU rRNA". It matches the Rfam family "Bacterial small subunit ribosomal RNA", at positions 16 to 507 of the family's 1533-position model. The record is from RNAcentral.